Molecule: non-coding RNA, 30 nt
Filed under: Rattus norvegicus (Norway rat)
Lineage: Eukaryota; Metazoa; Chordata; Mammalia; Rodentia; Muridae
Source: RNAcentral
UCUUGGAGCCAGAGCCGCGUAAGAGACCUC